AACGAACGCUGGCGGCAUGCCUAACACAUGCAAGUCGAACGAGACCUUCGGGUCUAGUGGCGCACGGGUGCGUAACGCGUGGGAACCUGCCCUUAGGUUCGGAAUAACUCCCCGAAAGGGGUGCUAAUACCGGAUAAUGUCUUCGGACCAAGGAUUUAUCGCCUUUGGAUGGGCCCGCGUUGGAUUAGCUAGUUGGUAGGGUAAAAGCCUACCAAGGCGACGAUCCAUAGCUGGUCUGAGAGGAUGAUCAGCCACACUGGGACUGAGACACGGCCCAGACUCCUACGGGAGGCAGCAGCGGGGAAUAUUGGACAAUGGGCGAAAGCCUGAUCCAGCAAUGCCGCGUGAGUGAUGAAGGCCUUAGGGUUGUAAAGCUCUUUUACCCGGGAUGAUAAUGACAGUACCGGGAGAAUAAGCUCCGGCUAACUCCGUG
This 433-nucleotide ribosomal RNA is filed under the name uncultured bacterium. Its description in RNAcentral is "partial 16S ribosomal RNA". It matches the Rfam family "Bacterial small subunit ribosomal RNA", at positions 29 to 507 of the family's 1533-position model. The record is from RNAcentral.